AUCCCUUUGGUGUAAUGCACGAAAGUUUUUGAAGCUUUAAGAGGGUCAUCCCAGGGGAUU
Molecule: transfer RNA, 60 nt
Filed under: Notodoris gardineri
Lineage: Eukaryota; Metazoa; Mollusca; Gastropoda; Nudibranchia; Polyceridae
Description: tRNA-Gln
Source: RNAcentral